RNAcentral lists this ribosomal RNA (393 nucleotides) under uncultured bacterium. RNAcentral's name for it is "partial 16S ribosomal RNA". It matches the Rfam family "Bacterial small subunit ribosomal RNA", at positions 523 to 918 of the family's 1533-position model. The record is from RNAcentral.
AUACGGAGGAUGCGAGCGUUAUCCGGAUUUAUUGGGUUUAAAGGGUGCGUAGGCUGUGCGUUAAGUCAGGGGUGAAAUGCCGUCGCUCAACGACGGAGCUGCCCUUGAUACUGGCGUGCUGGAGUACGGAUGCCGUUGGAGGAAUGAGUGGUGUAGCGGUGAAAUGCUUAGAUAUCACUCAGAACACCAAUGGCGAAGGCAUCUGCGAAAUCCGUGAGUGACGCUGAGGCACGAAAGCGGGGGGAUAGAACAGGAUUAGAUACCCGGGUAGUCCUCGCCGUAAACGAUGAUGACUAAUCGUCGGCGAUAGACAGCCGGUGGCCAAGCGAAAGCGAUAAGUCAUCCACCUGGGGAGUACGUCGGCAACGAUGAAACUCAAAUGAAUUGACGGGG